GAUUAUGGCUCAGAUUGAACGCUGGCGGCGUGCUUAACACAUGCAAGUCGCGCGUGAAAGGACUUCGGUCCGAGUAAAGCGGCGCACGGGUGAGUAACGCGUGGAUGAUCUACCCAUGAGUUAGGAAUAACGGCUGGAAACGGUCGCUAAUACCAAAUACGCUCCGAUUUCAACUUCGGGGGAAAGGUGGCCUCUGCUUGCAAGCUACUGCUCAUGGAUGAGUCCGCGUCCCAUUAGCUAGUUGGUGGGGUAACGGCCCACCAAGGCGACGAUGGGUAGCCGGUCUGAGAGGAUGACCGGCCACACUGGGACUGGAACACGGCCCAGACUCCUACGGGAGGCAGCAGUGGGGAAUAUUGCGCAAUGGGCGAAAGCCUGACGCAGCGACGCCGCGUGAGGGAUGAAGGUCCUCGGAUCGUAAACCUCUGUCAGGAGGGAAGAACCGCCACGGUGCUAAUCAGCCGUGGUCUGACGGUACCUCCAAAGGAAGCACCGGCUAACUCCGUGCCAGCAGCCGC
Molecule: ribosomal RNA, 518 nt
Filed under: uncultured bacterium
Lineage: Bacteria
Description: bacterial SSU rRNA
Rfam family: Bacterial small subunit ribosomal RNA
Source: RNAcentral